AUGGAGAUGAUUGCACACGAAUGGGCUAAGCCAGUUACGGGAAGGACACAUGUCGAGAGAUGGCAGAAUAAAAUUAGACACCUUCGACAAUUUCUGAGAGGUUGGGCCAGAAAUGAGAGUGGAAUUUAUAAGCAGGAAAAAGAGCGUCUUACUCAACUCAUUGAGGCACUAGAUGUAAAGGCUGAAAUCACUCUCCUUUCUGUUAAUGAGCAUCGAACCAAGUCCGGGGCUGAGCAAGGCCUACGUGCUCUCCUGAGAGAGGAGGAGCUCAAGUGGGCGUUGUGUGCGAAAACGCUUAAGGUUGUCCAAGGAGACGACGACACACAGUUCUUCCAUAUGGUUGCAAAUGAUAAACAUAGGAAGAAGAAGAUCAUACAGCUUGAACAGGACGAGGGGACAAUAGUGGGGCAUGAAAAUCUAAAAGCGUAUAUUUCCAACUAUUAUAAAAACCUUUUUGGGCCCCCGAAUACAUCCACGGUGUCUCUUGAUGAGUCUUUGAUUGAUGAUGUACCUCAAUUACAGGGCACCGUUUACUGA
This 537-nucleotide ribosomal RNA is filed under the name Triticum aestivum (bread wheat). Its description in RNAcentral is "partial small subunit ribosomal RNA". Lineage: Eukaryota; Viridiplantae; Streptophyta; Magnoliopsida; Poales; Poaceae. The record is from RNAcentral.